CGCAUCUGUGCAUGCAGCAUAUCAAUAAGCGGAGGAAAAGAAACUAACAAGGAUUCCCCUAGUAACGGCGAGUGAAGCGGGAAGAGCUCAAAUUUGAAAUCUUAAAGGGUUUCCCUUUACGAAUUGUAGUUUAAAGAAGUGUUUUCUGUUGAGGUUUUGGUAAAAGUUCUUUGGAAUAGGACAUCAUAGAGGGUGAGAAUCCCGUAUUUGACCUUUACUUUCAACUUUGUGAUACACUUUCAAAGAGUCGGAUUGUUUGGGAAUGCAGUCCAAAAUGGGUGGUAAAUUUCAUCUAAAGCUAAAUAUUGGCGAGAGACCGAUAGCGAACAAGUACCGUGAGGGAAAGAUGAAAAGAACUUUGAAAAGAGAGUUAAACAGUACGUGAAAUUGUCAAAAGGGAAGCGUUUGACACCAGUGUUGUUUUUCUCGAAAAUCAAUUAAAAGAAGUUAUGAUUUAAGUUGUGUAUUGACCUUAUCAGCUAACUGCAUUUCAGUUUCUUGAGCUUUUCUUUAAUGCACUUUUCAGUUAACAAGUCAACAUCAAUUUCUUUUGCUGUAAAAAAGCUUGAGGAAGGUGGCUUGAGAUUCGUCUUAAGUGUUUAUAGCCUCUUGCCUAUGCAGUCGGAGAGAUUGAGGUCUGCAGCGUAGAUCCUUCGGGGCUAAAUGCAUUUGUGCUAAGUUAUAGCAUUUUAUAGACAACUUGUUGACUAUGAUUUGUCUUGUAGCUUACUCGCUUAUGUUAUUUUACCUACGCUUAGGAUGUUGAUCUCUCACAGUCGAGC
This 782-nucleotide ribosomal RNA is filed under the name uncultured Neocallimastigales. Its description in RNAcentral is "partial large subunit ribosomal RNA". It matches the Rfam family "Eukaryotic large subunit ribosomal RNA", at positions 26 to 645 of the family's 3401-position model. The record is from RNAcentral. Lineage: Eukaryota; Fungi; Neocallimastigomycota; Neocallimastigomycetes; Neocallimastigales.